CCUACGGGAGGCAGCAGUGGGGGAUAUUGCACAAUGGGGGAAACCCUGAUGCAGUGACGCCGCGUGGGUGAAGAAGGAUUUCGGUAUGUAAAGCCCUAUCAGCAGGGAAGAAAGAAGACGGUACCUGACUAAGAAGCCCCGGCUAACUACGUGCCAGCAGCCGCGGUAAUACGUAGGGGGCGAGCGUUAUCCGGAUUCACUGGGUGUAAAGGGAGCGUAGACGGCCGUGCAAGCCAGGAGUGAAAGCCCGGGGCCCAACCCCGGGACUGCUCUUGGAACUGUGCGGCUGGAGUGCGGGAGGGGCAGGCGGAACUCCUGGUGUAGCGGUGAAAUGCGUAGAUAUCAGGAGGAACACCGGCGGCGAAGGCGGCCUGCUGGACCGCGACUGACGUUGAGGCUCGAAAGCGUGGGGAGCGAACAGGAUUAGAUACCCGAGUAGUC
Molecule: ribosomal RNA, 441 nt
Filed under: uncultured bacterium
Lineage: Bacteria
Description: partial 16S ribosomal RNA
Rfam family: Bacterial small subunit ribosomal RNA
Source: RNAcentral